AUUGAACGCUGGCGGCAGGCCUAACACAUGCAAGUCGAGCGGAUGAAGGGAGCUUGCUCCUGGAUUCAGCGGCGGACGGGUGAGUAAUGCCUAGGAAUCUGCCUGGUAGUGGGGGAUAACGUCCGGAAACGGGCGCUAAUACCGCAUACGUCCUGAGGGAGAAAGUGGGGGAUCUUCGGACCUCACGCUAUCAGAUGAGCCUAGGUCGGAUUAGCUAGUUGGUGGGGUAAAGGCCUACCAAGGCGACGAUCCGUAACUGGUCUGAGAGGAUGAUCAGUCACACUGGAACUGAGACACGGUCCAGACUCCUACGGGAGGCAGCAGUGGGGAAUAUUGGACAAUGGGCGAAAGCCUGAUCCAGCCCUGCCGCGUGUGUGAAGAAGGUCUUCGGAUUGUAAAGCACUUUAAGUUGGGAGGAAGGGCAGUAAGUUAAUACCUUGCUGUUUUGACGUUCCCCCCUGAAUAAGCACCGGCUCACUUCGUG
RNAcentral lists this ribosomal RNA (484 nucleotides) under uncultured bacterium. RNAcentral's name for it is "partial 16S ribosomal RNA". It matches the Rfam family "Bacterial small subunit ribosomal RNA", at positions 30 to 507 of the family's 1533-position model. The record is from RNAcentral.